This 465-nucleotide ribosomal RNA is filed under the name Vreelandella stevensii. Its description in RNAcentral is "partial 16S ribosomal RNA". It matches the Rfam family "Bacterial small subunit ribosomal RNA", at positions 338 to 795 of the family's 1533-position model. Lineage: Bacteria; Pseudomonadati; Pseudomonadota; Gammaproteobacteria; Oceanospirillales; Halomonadaceae. The record is from RNAcentral.
CCUACGGGUGGCAGCAGUGGGGAAUAUUGGACAAUGGGCGAAAGCCUGAUCCAGCCAUGCCGCGUGUGUGAAGAAGGCCUUCGGGUUGUAAAGCACUUUCAGUGGGGAAGAAAGCCUUGGGGCUAAUACCCUCGAGGAAGGACAUCACCCACAGAAGAAGCACCGGCUAACUCCGUGCCAGCAGCCGCGGUAAUACGGAGGGUGCGAGCGUUAAUCGGAAUUACUGGGCGUAAAGCGCGCGUAGGCGGUCUGAUAAGCCGGUUGUGAAAGCCCCGGGCUCAACCUGGGAACGGCAUCCGGAACUGUCAGGCUAGAGUGCAGGAGAGGAAGGUAGAAUUCCCGGUGUAGCGGUGAAAUGCGUAGAGAUCGGGAGGAAUACCAGUGGCGAAGGUGGCCUUCUGGACUGACACUGACGCUGAGGUGCGAAAGCGUGGGUAGCAAACAGGAUUAGAUACCCGGGUAGUC